RNAcentral lists this ribosomal RNA (319 nucleotides) under uncultured eukaryote. Its description in RNAcentral is "partial 18S ribosomal RNA". It matches the Rfam family "Eukaryotic small subunit ribosomal RNA", at positions 1470 to 1796 of the family's 1831-position model. The record is from RNAcentral.
CCCUUAGAUGUUCUGGGCCGCACGCGCGCUACAAUGGUCUUCGCAAACGGAUGCAUUCUCGAAGGAGAAUGCCAAUCUUGGAAUCUAUGCCUUGGUCGGGACAGUUGCUUGCAAUUUUUCGACUCGAACCAGGAAUUCCUUGUAAUCGUGGUUCAUCACAUCACGAUGAAUACGUCCCUGCCCUUUGUACACACCGCCCGUCGCUCCUACCGAUCGAAGAGUUAGGUGAAUUGUUUUGAUCGAUAAGAUUUGACUAUGGUCAACUCUCGUUGUGAAAUUCUGUGAAUCUGACUGUUUAGAGGAAGGAAAAGUCGUAACA